This 465-nucleotide ribosomal RNA is filed under the name Vreelandella stevensii. RNAcentral's name for it is "partial 16S ribosomal RNA". It matches the Rfam family "Bacterial small subunit ribosomal RNA", at positions 338 to 795 of the family's 1533-position model. Lineage: Bacteria; Pseudomonadati; Pseudomonadota; Gammaproteobacteria; Oceanospirillales; Halomonadaceae. The record is from RNAcentral.
CCUACGGGGGGCUGCAGUGGGGAAUAUUGGACAAUGGGCGAAAGCCUGAUCCAGCCAUGCCGCGUGUGUGAAGAAGGCCUUCGGGUUGUAAAGCACUUUCAGUGGGGAAGAAAGCCUUGGGGCUAAUACCCUCGAGGAAGGACAUCACCCACAGAAGAAGCACCGGCUAACUCCGUGCCAGCAGCCGCGGUAAUACGGAGGGUGCGAGCGUUAAUCGGAAUUACUGGGCGUAAAGCGCGCGUAGGCGGUCUGAUAAGCCGGUUGUGAAAGCCCCGGGCUCAACCUGGGAACGGCAUCCGGAACUGUCAGGCUAGAGUGCAGGAGAGGGAGGUAGAAUUCCCGGUGUAGCGGUGAAAUGCGUAGAGAUCGGGAGGAAUACCAGUGGCGAAGGCGGCCUUCUGGACUGACACUGACGCUGAGGUGCGAAAGCGUGGGUAGCAAACAGGAUUAGAUACCCGAGUAGUC